UUGAUGUCAUGUGUAUGUUUGAGUAUAAGAACUAGAACCACAACCGGAUCUUAAAAGCCCAAGUAGUGUAUCCUUGUUAGAAGAUACAAAGUCAAAGACUCAUACGGACUUUGGCUACACCAACAAAGCUUUGAGAAGCAAGAAGAAGUUUGGUUAAUGUUUUGGAGUCAACUAUGACUUCAGGUCAUUUGUAUGAGUAAGUAUAAGAACUAGAACUACAAACGGAUCUUAAAAGGCUAAGUAGUGUUUCCUUGUUAGAGGAUACAAAGACAAAGACUCAUACAAACUUCUUCUACACCAUCAAAGGUUUGAGAAUCAAGAAGAAGCUUAGUUGGUGUCUUGGAGUCAAAUAUGACUAGAUGUCAUUUGUAUGAUUGAGUAUAAGAACUAGAACCGCAAAAGGAUCCCAAAAUGUAAAUUAGUGUUUUCUUGUUAAAAGAUACA
RNAcentral lists this small RNA (444 nucleotides) under Arabidopsis thaliana (thale cress). RNAcentral's name for it is "ATSL198720". Lineage: Eukaryota; Viridiplantae; Streptophyta; Magnoliopsida; Brassicales; Brassicaceae. The record is from RNAcentral.